UACGUAGGUGGCAAGCGUUGUCCGGAUUUAUUGGGUUUAAAGGGUGCGUAGGCGGUUCUUUAAGUCAGUUGUGAAAUACGGCAGCUCAACUGUCGAGGUGCAAUUGAUACUGGGGAACUAGAGUACUGGUGAGGUAUGCGGAAUGGACGGUGUAGCGGUGAAAUGCUUAGAUAUCGUCCAGAACACCGAUAGCGAAGGCAGCAUACUAAGGAGUAACUGACGCUGAGGCACGAAAGUGUGGGGAUCAAAC
This 250-nucleotide ribosomal RNA is filed under the name uncultured bacterium. RNAcentral describes it as "partial 16S ribosomal RNA". It matches the Rfam family "Bacterial small subunit ribosomal RNA", at positions 524 to 773 of the family's 1533-position model. The record is from RNAcentral.